UACGUAGGGGGCGAGCGUUGUCCGGAAUUAUUGGGCGUAAAGAGCGUGUAGGCGGUUCGGUAAGUCUGCCGUGAAACCUGGGGCUCAACCCCGGCGUGCGGUGGAUACUGCCGGGCUAGAGGGUGGUAGAGGCGAGUGAAAUUCCCGGUGUAGCGGUGAAAUGCGUAGAUAUCGGGAAGAACACCAGUGGCGAAGGCGCUCUACUGGGCCACAACUGACGCUGAGGGACGAAAGCUAGGGGAGCGAAAGGG
RNAcentral lists this ribosomal RNA (251 nucleotides) under uncultured bacterium. RNAcentral describes it as "partial 16S ribosomal RNA". It matches the Rfam family "Bacterial small subunit ribosomal RNA", at positions 524 to 776 of the family's 1533-position model. The record is from RNAcentral.